AACCCAUGUUGAGGGCACUUCCGCAGAAUGUUUUUGAAUCUAUUCCAGGCUUCAUCAAAUGAUUCAGAUUCUCCUUGACUGAAUAUCGAUAUCUCAUGUCUCAGUUU
Molecule: small nucleolar RNA, 107 nt
Filed under: Olea europaea subsp. europaea
Lineage: Eukaryota; Viridiplantae; Streptophyta; Magnoliopsida; Lamiales; Oleaceae
Description: Plant small nucleolar RNA R71
Rfam family: Plant small nucleolar RNA R71
About the family: R71 is a member of the C/D box family of snoRNAs containing the C (UGAUGA) and D (CUGA) box motifs. Multiple nearly identical copies of this snoRNA have been identified in Arabidopsis, and it is thought to function as a 2'-O-ribose methylation guide for 18S ribosomal RNA.
Source: Rfam by way of RNAcentral